This 253-nucleotide ribosomal RNA is filed under the name uncultured bacterium. Its description in RNAcentral is "partial 16S ribosomal RNA". It matches the Rfam family "Bacterial small subunit ribosomal RNA", at positions 524 to 776 of the family's 1533-position model. The record is from RNAcentral.
UACAGAGGGUGCAAGCGUUGUUCGGAAUCAUUGGGCGUAAAGCGCGUGUAGGCGGGCAGGCAAGUCGGGUGUGAAAGCCCAGGGCUUAACCCUGGAAUUGCGCCCGAAACUGCUUGUCUUGAGUACGGGAGAGGGAAGCGGAAUUCUUGGUGUAGGGGUGAAAUCCGUAGAUAUCAGGAAGAACACCGAUGGCGAAGGCAGCUUCCUGGACCGAUACUGACGCUCAGACGCGAAAGCGUGGGGAGCAAACAGG